This 495-nucleotide ribosomal RNA is filed under the name uncultured bacterium. RNAcentral's name for it is "partial 16S ribosomal RNA". It matches the Rfam family "Bacterial small subunit ribosomal RNA", at positions 28 to 507 of the family's 1533-position model. The record is from RNAcentral.
GAUGAACGCUGGCGGCGUGCCUAAUACAUGCAAGUAGAACGCUGAAGGAGGAGCUUGCUCUUCUGGAUGAGUUGCGAACGGGUGAGUAACGCGUAGGUAACCUGCCUGGUAGCGGGGGAUAACUAUUGGAAACGAUAGCUAAUACCGCAUGACAACAGUUAUUGCAUGAUAACUGUUUAAAAGGGGCAACUGCUCCACUACCAGAUGGACCUGCGUUGUAUUAGCUAGUUGGUGAGGUAACGGCUCACCAAGGCGACGAUACAUAGCCGACCUGAGAGGGGGAUCGGGCAACACGGGAAUGGGACAAGGCCCAGAAUCCCACGGGAGGCAGCAGGAGGGAAAUCUCGGCAAUGGACGGAAGUCUGACCGAGCAACGCCGCGGGAGGGAAGAAGGUUUUCGGAUCGUAAAGCUCUGUUGUAAGAGAAGAACGAGUGUGAGAGUGGAAAGUUCACACUGUGACGGUAUCUUACCAGAAAGGGACGGCUAACUACGUG